This is a long non-coding RNA of Melanotaenia boesemani (Boeseman's rainbowfish), 330 nucleotides long. RefSeq lists it as uncharacterized. NCBI's taxonomy places the organism in Eukaryota, Metazoa, Chordata, Actinopteri, Atheriniformes, Melanotaeniidae. The record is from RefSeq and is a predicted model, not a curated record. The transcript is spliced from 4 exons.
CAGGAAUACAUCCACGUACUCCCGGAAGGGAACGUCCACUGGAACAGAUUAAAGCAGAGAGUCAGGAAUGCACCUUUCUGCAGGGAAACAGCUGCCAUAGCUGGAAAGUUUGCAAGACAUUUUUUCACAGCUGCAGAUUCCCCUCCAAAUGAGGAUUCUUGUCGAUUUCUGAUGUCUUCAAGCUGAUGAGGAUGCAGCUUCAUUCAAGCUAAAUGCUCAACAUAUUGACAGUUGUGCAGAGCAGAGUGAGUCGAGUGACAACCCACCCGGACCAGUUUCUCCGAGUGGCCCCUCCAUUUGCUGACGAUACUGGAGGCUGAGAUGUUGAAG